GUAUAUUUUAGGUUUUAUCUAAAUAUCACUAGAGUAUGUAAUCCGGUAACGGUUAAAUUCGAAAUGGAAAACGCAUCUGUGGAGGGGUCACAGUAUGGAAAAAUAGAAAAAAAAUAAAUAAUCUUAAUAAAUGUCCAAAACUUUAUACUAUUAGGUACUAGGUACUUAAAAUAUCUUUUCACAUUUUUUUUUUUUUUUUCAUAAAAUUAAUAAUAUUUUACCUAAAAUUAUAAAACCUUUUUUUAAAAAUAAUUGUAAUAAUAUACAACUUAAGAAUAUUUAAGAAAUAUACCGUAAGCCACGUUAUAUAAUUAUUUAAAUUUUUUUUUCAAAAUGGUACAUCUUUAUUUUAUUAAGAUUUAUAUAAAUUAAACAUUCCGAAAAAAAAAAAUUAAUACAUUCCGAGAUAAAACGGUAGUGCGGCGAGACGAGUUAGUUAGUCCGAUCUCACUUACACGCCUGAAACUUUGCUCACCUUGUUUGCAAAAUGUAUUAGGUCAAAGCAAGAUUCAGGCGACAUGUGGAUCGUUCAAUU
Non-coding RNA from Cinara cedri, 535 nucleotides. NCBI's taxonomy places the organism in Eukaryota, Metazoa, Arthropoda, Insecta, Hemiptera, Aphididae. The record is from the annotation of a GenBank genome assembly.